CCAACAUGGCUAGUCGAAAAGUCACGAAGUGCAAAGAAGGAGCCGAUAAAUAUUUUGUUUUAUUACCCUCUUAUAACGAGAGAGAGAAUCUACCUUUACUCGAGUGGCUGCUGGUCAAAUAUUUUGGUGAAGUGUUCACAUACUCGUCUGGUAGAUAGCUUGGUCAACUCUGUUGCUAGUGUAGCUGCCUCUGCAUUUAGUGCAGUGUUAUCGAAAUGAAAAGUACGGAUCUACUGUCUACGCUGUGGCAGUUAUAUCAUGGGUACAGCUACGAGGUGAUUGUAAUUGAUGAUGGAAGCCCAGACGGGACUCUGGAGAUUGCAAAAGAUCUAUGGUUCAGAUAAAAUUGAACAGCCUACAUACAUGGGAUGCAGCACGCCACUGGAAACUCCAUUAUAAUCAAGGAUGCUGACCUUUCCCACCACAAGACAGAAAGACGGUAAUUAGACAUAGUGUCUGGGACUCGAUACAACGGAGAUGGAGGUGUGUAUGGCUGGGAUGUAAAAAGAAAAGUUAUCAGCUGAGGAGCAAACUUCAUUACGCAGAUACCGCUGAGACCAGGCGUGUCAGAUUUAACUGGCAGUUUCAGGCUCUACAGAAAAGAAGUGCUUCAAAAACUGGUGGAAAAAUGCGUCUCCAAGGGAUAUGUGUUUUCAGAUGGAGAUGAUUUUUCGAGCAAGACAGCUGGGAUACAGCAUUGGAGAGGUUCCAAUUUCGUUUGUUAUCGUGUUUACGGAGAAUCCAGACUAGGAGGGAAUGAAAUCGUCUCCUUUGUUAAAGGGCUCCUGACACUGUUUGCCACGACAUAGAUCUGUGCUGACUGGCUCUGGAUAAAGCACUGUCAUUGUUUUGAUUGUCUUUAAUUGGAACAGUUUGAGUAAGCAAAUCAAUUUGAAAGUGACUACAGGAAACAAAGGCUCGUGGUUACCUUUUUUUACUUAAUUAAAAAAAAAAAAAUAAUUGAAUAACCAAUAAUUCUAAAUAGCAAUGUAUUCCAAUAAAAAUACCAUUUAAUGCACUUAAUUUGUAAACAGAGAGAUAAUUUGAAACUGUGUUGACAACAUUCCCCAAACAGUUAACAGAUAUACAGAGAUGUGUCUAUCAGGCAUGUUUAUAUAGCCACUCCCCCACUGCCAGUGUGCAGAAUUGAAGCCAGGCUUGUAUUUUACUGUUUUCACACUUGAAUAAAAUGAAUCCAGGAGCUGGAGAUGAGAGUUGUUAAUGCAGCUUUGCGCCAUGUCCUUUUCACACUAGAAACUAAUCCCAGAUUUGAUGCGGUUUAGUUUUUCUUCAGUGUGGACAUACUAAAGCUGGAAUUGACUCGGCGGUAAAGUUAUUUGAGCUGCGCUCGUGUGUAAAGCACAUCUUUACAUGCAGGACACAUGCGCAAUCGAAAACGUAAGUUGCAUUACUUGUUAAUGUAGCUUAGUUUGUUUUCUCACGAUAAAGCAGGGUAAAAUUACCCUUGUUUUUUAUGCAGAUUCAAAACUACCACCAAAGAUUAGUCAGUGGCACUCGGACGCAUUGAACAAAACAGGUUGCGAGUCUGGCUUCAAUGUGCUCGCAACACCACUCUGAAGAGCUGUGUGAUCACUAAGGUUUCAUUAGUGAUCACACACCAUAUUAAUAUCCAGAGAGUGGACAAUUAGGAUGAGUAAUAAUUUAAACAUUAAAACCUUAGACAAAUAAACAUCAGAUUGCACCCCAAAUAUAGGUGUUACCCUUAGUUAACAGUGUAGGCCAGUUUAUUUUAUAUUCAAUAAUGCUUGAGUCAGUUUAGUCCUUUUAUAAAAAGGUGAUGGAGGGCUUCUUAUUGGGAAUGUUUUGUAACCAAUCAGAAACACCCUCAUGUUAGUGUAAAUGUUUAGGAAAUUACACUAACACCCCUAAUUAGGUCCCCCUAUUCCAGCAGACUGUAGUGGCAGAUAUUUGUAUAUUCUCUAAUAUCUCCCCUGUUCUGCAUUAAACUGAUUAGAUGACACUUGAUGUACACAUUUCUGAAUAGCCCUGGUGCAGUGUAGCUUUGAAGAUCCUAGAUCACUGUCUGCAUCCCCAAGUCGGGAUCUCUUGGGGCUUGCUUGGUAUGUGUCUAUUAAUUUAAAUGAUUUUCUGGUAAUCUAACAUACAGCACCUGCAGACCAAAAAAUGUAUAUAGAAUUAGUGUUUGAAAACAGCAAAUGGAUACUCUGAAUCUACCAGCAGCGCUUACAUAUUCCAGUAAUUAUUUUAAUGUUGCUUCAAAGAGACUGCGCAAACUUGACAGCAUGCAAAGUUCACUUUAUCAGGUGUCCACCAAUAACCAAGCAAAAUAAUACCAAUGACUGUUUCACUGUGAGAAACUGCUAUGAUUGUGCUGCUUGUAUAUAUUUCAGAGCAUUGUAAUUGUAAUAAUUAGCUUACCUGUAAAUGUUUCAUCUAAUCUUAAAGUAGAUACAGUCUCCACCAUUUACACCGCACACGGUUAUUUCAGGCAGCCGUUUAUAUUGGACAAAUAGAGUUCGCCAUUCCCAUUGAUUUCAGUAACAAAGGCAUUGUUUAUACCGUGUUGGGCAAACUCAGCUUUUUGGAUCUCUAUCUGUGCACGUAGAUUUAAAUAACAAAUGCACUGCUUAUACUGUAGUAAUCACUCUGUAGUAAUCCUUGUUACCUUACCACUCACAUAGAUUUCAAUACAAAAGGCAGCACUUUACUGUAGUUAAAAAAGCUUGACAGAUCGAUCAAUCGCUGAGCGAUUACCACGUACUGUACCAUGGCUAUUUAAUCCCUGUACAGUGUCAGCUUUAAAGCAUGUUUGGAACUCUGUCAGUUAAAAUGUAACAACUAAAGCAAAGGUUUACAAUUUUAAAAAGGCAAACUAAGAAGGAAUGAAACAGACUGACAGAAGUAGAUUGGAGUAAA
This is a long non-coding RNA of Polyodon spathula (Mississippi paddlefish), 2898 nucleotides long. RefSeq lists it as uncharacterized. The transcript is spliced from 7 exons. Lineage: Eukaryota; Metazoa; Chordata; Actinopteri; Acipenseriformes; Polyodontidae. The record is from RefSeq and is a predicted model, not a curated record.